This 591-nucleotide long non-coding RNA is filed under the name Carica papaya (papaya). Its description in RNAcentral is "long non-coding RNA (CPAP_LNC011202)". Lineage: Eukaryota; Viridiplantae; Streptophyta; Magnoliopsida; Brassicales; Caricaceae. The record is from RNAcentral.
GAACGGCGGUGGCGUCAUGCUCUGGUGACAGCACCGCCGCCCGCGACAACGAUUUGCCAUGAGCUGGCCGUUUGGAGCGAGCUUCGGCCAAUUUUGACCAAUUUUGUACUCAUCCUUGCAAGAAAACACGUUAAGAAGCAUCAGUUGACCCAAAAAAAUCAAAAAAUAAAAGUCCGGUGCGGCAGCUCUGCCGGCUCACCUUUGCAAUUGAGCAAUUUUUUUGUUAACAUUUGAAAAACAAAAUGAUGAAUACAAUGAUGAAAAAAUUGCAUGAAACAGAAAUCGGGAAGGGCCUCAUCGGAUGCAGUUUUUUAUUUUUUCCGUGGCAGCGCUGCCGGGGUUUACUGGUAGUUUUCAGCUCAUCUGCCAAUCCUUUUACUCCGAUUUGGCCAUGAGGGUUAUCAAAAUCAAAUUUCGAGAGACAAUAAUUUUUUUACCUUUUUUGGCGGUCGGAAGUGACUUUAACACGACAGCGGACGACCGGUGAUUCCCUUCUUAGCGACUGGUUAUUCUUCUCCAGGCGGGGGGCUGGCGGCUAGGGUUAGAGUUUGGUAUGAAGUGAGGUAUUUAUAUCUAUUUUUUAAUCUGAAU